UGGAGUAUAGCCAAGUGGAAAGGCAUCGGUUUUUGGUACCGGCAUGCAAAGGUUCGAAUCCUUUUACUCCAG
RNAcentral lists this transfer RNA (72 nucleotides) under Dorcoceras hygrometricum. RNAcentral describes it as "Boea hygrometrica tRNA". It matches the Rfam family "tRNA". From Rfam's summary of the family: Transfer RNA (tRNA) molecules are approximately 80 nucleotides in length. Their secondary structure includes four short double-helical elements and three loops (D, anti-codon, and T loops). The record is from Rfam by way of RNAcentral. Lineage: Eukaryota; Viridiplantae; Streptophyta; Magnoliopsida; Lamiales; Gesneriaceae.